Molecule: ribosomal RNA, 503 nt
Filed under: uncultured bacterium
Lineage: Bacteria
Description: partial 16S ribosomal RNA
Rfam family: Bacterial small subunit ribosomal RNA
Source: RNAcentral
AUUGAACGCUGGCGGCAGGCUUAACACAUGCAAGUCGAGCGGGGUGAUGGUGCUUGCACUAUCACUUAGCGGCGGACGGGUGAGUAAUGCUUAGGAAUCUGCCUAUUAGUGGGGGGCAACAUCUCGAAAGGGAUGCUAAUACCGCAUACGUCCUACAGGAGAAAGCAGGGGAUCACUUGUGACCUUGCGCUAAUAGAUGAGCCUAAGUCGGAUUAGCUAGUUGGUGGGGUAAAGGCCUACCAAGGCGACGAUCUGUAGCGGGUCUGAGAGGAUGAUCCGGCACGGUGGUAAUGAGACACAGCCCAGACUCCUACGGGAGGCAGCAGUGGGGAAUAUUGGACAAUGGGGGGAACCCUGAUCCAGCCAUGCAGCGUGUGUGAAGAAGGCCUUAUGGUUGUAAAGCACUUUAAGCGAGGAGGAGGCUCUUUUGGUUAAUACCCAAGAUGAGUGGACGUUACUCGCAGAAUAAGCACCGGCUAACUCUGUGCCAGCCGCCGCCGUAA